UGCAUUUUUUUAAUCUUAAAAAAUCUAAAUGAGUGAUUUCUUUGUGGUGAAAUGGUCCGGUUGGGGAGCCCUGCUACGCCGAAUAUGGAUGUCAAAGCUGAAAGUAAGCCGAAGAUAAACUAAAGU
Arachis ipaensis is the source of this 126-nucleotide non-coding RNA. The record is from RefSeq and is a predicted model, not a curated record. NCBI's taxonomy places the organism in Eukaryota, Viridiplantae, Streptophyta, Magnoliopsida, Fabales, Fabaceae.